RNAcentral lists this ribosomal RNA (242 nucleotides) under uncultured bacterium. RNAcentral describes it as "partial 16S ribosomal RNA". It matches the Rfam family "Bacterial small subunit ribosomal RNA", at positions 376 to 612 of the family's 1533-position model. The record is from RNAcentral.
CGCAGUCUGAUGGAGCACGCCGCGUGAGUGAAGAAGGUUUUCGGAUCGUAAAGCUCUGUUAUUGGUGAAGAAAGAUAGAGGUAGUAACUGGCCUUUAUUUGACGGUAAUCAACCAGAAAGUCACGGCUAACUACGUGCCAGCAGCCGCGGUAAUACGUAGGUGGCAAGCGUUGUCCGGAUUUAUUGGGCGUAAAGCGAGUGCAGGCGGUUCAAUAAGUCUAAUGUGAAAGCCUUCGGCUUAA